This 86-nucleotide transfer RNA is filed under the name Lactobacillus sp. YT155. Its description in RNAcentral is "tRNA-Leu". It matches the Rfam family "tRNA". From Rfam's summary of the family: Transfer RNA (tRNA) molecules are approximately 80 nucleotides in length. Their secondary structure includes four short double-helical elements and three loops (D, anti-codon, and T loops). The record is from RNAcentral. Lineage: Bacteria; Bacillati; Bacillota; Bacilli; Lactobacillales; Lactobacillaceae.
GCGGGUAUGGCGGAAUUGGCAGACGCGCAAGACUAAGGAUCUUGUGGAGAAUUAUCUCCGUGGAGGUUCAAGUCCUCUUACCCGCA